This is a long non-coding RNA of Prosopis cineraria, 949 nucleotides long. RefSeq lists it as uncharacterized. The transcript is spliced from 3 exons. The record is from RefSeq and is a predicted model, not a curated record. NCBI's taxonomy places the organism in Eukaryota, Viridiplantae, Streptophyta, Magnoliopsida, Fabales, Fabaceae.
UUCGUCGAGCAGGGGUUAGGUGUGGUUCGCUUCGGAUUUUCGCUAUUGAAUAUCCAGGUCUGGGGGCAUCGAUCAGAUUCAGAGCUCAAUUUACCUUAUCAUUUCUAUUUCGUGCCCAAAAGCUCUCAGAGUCUCUGGCAUGUGUGCUUGUGAUUGCCUAGUUUGUUCUUGUGAAUCCUGUUUGGAGAUUUUACCAUGCAUCUUGCAGCGUUUGGACGUCACAUAUUACAUAUAUAUUAUAGUUAUGUGCCCAGAGCGACACUCAUAAUCUCAAAUACUUGGGGCAACGAUGCUCUUGGUCGGCUAAUAAAAUCAAGUCCGCAAAUUGCAGAACAACACCAACUGGCUGUCAUUGACUGCUUAGAGAACCCUGAUGAUACUCUGAAGCGAAAAACAUUUGAACUGUUAUAAAAAAUGACAAAGUCCUCCAAUGUCUUCAACGAUAACUAACGAUGGCUACUGAUUGCGAGCCAUGAAUAGGGUUUUUGAUCAUGCUGGAGAUCUUGUGAAUGAUUAUCAAGGUGGCACAUAAUUUAAUGCGAUUGAUUGCAAAAGGUUUUGGAGAAGAUGUUGCUGCUGCAGAUAGUCAACGGAGAUCAUCAGCUAUAUUGCAAAAGCUUUUGGAUUAUUGCACUGUUUUUUUCAAAAUAUUUACUACAAAGAUGCAUGUCGCCAUAAGUUAUUUAUGGGAGCUUCUUUCUGAAGUGGAGGUUGAGUCAUAUUUGCGUGCCAUUGGGGAGCCGAAGCUUCCAUCUAUGUUUCUUUAAGUACUUACUAUCUUACUUAGGUUUUUGCAUUUCUGUACUUGUUAUAUUUUGCAAAGAAAUUAGACUUGUUCCAUGGCAUAAUCUUAAAUACUGAUUGCAAGUCAUUUGUUGGGUUCUGAGUGAUUAUGGCACAGCUGCUGGACAGUGUUCUGCUUCCUAUAUCGCUGCAAAGUUAUGUGACA